Mauremys reevesii (Reeves's turtle) is the source of this 1169-nucleotide long non-coding RNA. RefSeq lists it as uncharacterized. The transcript has 3 exons. NCBI's taxonomy places the organism in Eukaryota, Metazoa, Chordata, Testudines, Geoemydidae. The record is from RefSeq and is a predicted model, not a curated record.
AUCCCUAAUUGUAACAAGGUUCACUCACCACUCUGGUGCCUCCUGCUGGUUGUCUUGGGAAUUAGCUUUUCAUGGUAGUGCGCCCUCUUUGGGUGGUGCCUCGCCGCCAUCACUCCUGCUCUAGGACCCACGUCUCUCCAAGGACCAUGGCAUCCUUUUCAGUGACACAGCCCUCCAGCCGUGCCACACACAGUGCUCCCCACCUCUGGGAGACCUGCAAUCUGCUGGUCAGCCACUUCCCUUAGUGGCUAUGGCAGUGUAUUGUCUGGCCACUUCCCUGUGGCCCCAGCAUCCUCCUUGCCCUUGCCUCAACCCGCAAACCCCAGCAGCCAGCCAGCCAGGAGCUGCCUCUCACUCCCCUGGUCCCUGCUAGGAGCACCGCUCUAUCUAGGGUGCUAGCAGUUCUCUCAGCCCUCCAGAGACACAGCCCUUCCUCCCUGGGCUCCCAGCAGUGAACUGCCUUCCUCUGCCCUGCAGGUCUCCUUUUAUAUGGGCCUACUUGGCCUUGAUUGGCUGCUCCCAUCAGCCUUUUUCUGAUUGGCUGCCUCCUGAGCAGCCUGCCUAGGGCUCUAUUAACCCCUUAGAGCCCAGUGUGGAGCAGGUGCCCCGUUACACUAAUACUUAGGCCUGGUCUACAACUCACUGUUACAAAUGUGCACCUUAGCUACUGGAACAACUUACCCAGGGACAUGGUGGAUUCUCCAUCACAUGAAGUCUUUAAAUCAAGAUUGGAUGUUUUUUUCUGGAAGAUCUGCUAUAGCUCAGACAGAAGUUCUGUGCCUGAUGCAGGAAUUACUGGGGGGAAAGGGACACUCAGGAGAGAAAUCGGACCUGCAGCACCACCGCAGUGCCAGGGCUUAUUCCACCAGAGCUGCUCAUGUACACGAGCCCUUAGACGUGCUCUGCCGGUGUGGAAAAUCCAGAAGAGUGACUGGGAAUCUGUAAGCGAGUGGCAAAGUCCCCUGUCAUAGGAGCCUCCUGACAACCAGCUUCCACGGGCCUCCCUGCUGAGAACAGACCCCAUAGGUCCCAGAACCAAUGGGAUUAUGGUUAGUCGGCGGAAUAAUGUUUGUUUGGUGAAUUAGUGAUUCAAGAUACUGCCACCAACUGCUUCUCCCUCCCUCCCUUCCUUCUCUGGAUGUUAACAUCUUAUUAGCACAAUAAAGUGA